AGUUCUGCAUUUUCUUUGAUAAGAACAUCUUUAUCCUUAACUAAUGAAUCAUACUUACGGAGAUGAGUUUGGUUAGUUACUUUUAGUUCUUUAUUUUUAAUGUUUAUCAUUUUGUAUUCAUCCAUUAAUUCAUUGAAAGCAUCAUACAGUUCAUCGAAAGUAAAAUCUAAAUGUGGUGCGGAUGUUACCUCAUUUUCAUUGGCCAUGAAGCAGAAGUUGGCCUUUUCUACUUGUUCCUCAUCCGAUGAGGAUGAUGAUGUGUCGGAGUCCGAUAGGGUGGUGACAAGGGCUUUCUUCUUCUUGUACUUGCUCUCCUUCUUUAGUAGAGGACACUCAGCUCUGAUGUGUCCCGGCUUCUUGCACUCAUAGCAUCCAAUCCCCUCAUUUUCCCUUUCCUUACCUUUAUCCUUCCGAUAGGAAUUUGAGGGGCCUCUCCUCUGAUGAAAGGUCUUCUUUUGAUUGAUGAAUCUUCUGAAUUUGCGCACGAGAAGACCCUCAUCAUCGUCUCCCUCAUGAUUCUCUUCUUCACUGCUGCUACUGCAAGACAAGUACUUAUUAGAUGAUGUAGAUUUAAGAGCUAUUACCUUUUUCUAUGGGAGGACUCUUCUUCGCUGUGCUGCUUCAUUGUCAGCUCAUGCGUCAUUAGGGAUCCAAGAAGCUCUUC
This 664-nucleotide long non-coding RNA is filed under the name Phoenix dactylifera (date palm). Its description in RNAcentral is "long non-coding RNA (PDAC_LNC018353)". The record is from RNAcentral. Lineage: Eukaryota; Viridiplantae; Streptophyta; Magnoliopsida; Arecales; Arecaceae.